CCUCUGGCGGCCGGUGGCGGAGGCGGUGGCGCUGCCGAGCAAGCCGGGCACUGGGCGCCGAGCGCCGGCCGCCUGCCCGCCCGCACCCCCUCCCCGGCCGGCUGGCUGCGCGCACGGCGAACAUGGCGGCGGCGGUGGGGCGGGACACUCUACCUGAGCACUGGUCCUACGGCGUCUGCGGCGACGGCCGCGUCUUCUUCAUCGACGACCUGACCCGCACCACCACUUGGCUGCACCCGCGCACCGGGGAGCCCGUCAACUCCGGCCACAUGAUCCGCUCAGAUCUGCCCCGAGGAUGGGAGGAGGGGUUCUCGGAGGAGGGAGCCAGCUACUUUAUCGACCAUAAUCAGCAGACCACGUCAUUUAGACAUCCUGUGACAGGACAGGUUUCUCCAGAAAAUAUUGAAUUUAUUUUGCGAGACGAGCAGAAUUCACCUAUGUCCAAGCAACAGAUAAACCAAAGACCUUCAAGUAUGGUCAGUGAAACAUCCACUGCAGUAACUACAUCUACUGUUGAUACAAAGCCUUCUUCUAAGGUUGUGAAGACUGGAAGCAAAGUUCAUAGCUUUGGAAAGAGGGAGCAAGCUAUCAGAAGGAAUCCUAAUGUUCCUGUUAUAGUAAGAGGCUGGUUACACAAACAGGAUAGCUCUGGAAUGAGAUUAUGGAAAAGACGAUGGUUUGUGCUUGCUGAUUAUUGUUUGUUUUACUACAAAGACAGCAGAGAAGAAUCUGUUUUGGGUAGCAUACCGUUGCCUAGUUACGUAAUAUCUCCUGUUGGACCUGAAGAUCGCAUAAAUCGCAAAUUUUCUUUUAAGGCUGUUCACACAGGGAUGAGGGCAUAUAUAUUUAAUAAGAAUUCUGUUAUUGGCUCUCAGGCAGAGCAUUCAGGGAUGCGGACGUACUAUUUCAGUGCAGAUACGCAAGAGGAUAUGAAUGGCUGGAUCCGGGCUAUGAAUCAAGCUGCCCUUAUGCAAACACGCUCUUCACUGAAAAGAGAAACUGAGAAAGUGGAUCAGCAAGCUGUUCCCCAAGCCAAUCAUGUGGAUGCCUAUAAGGAGCUUGUGAAGGCAGAGAUUACAGAUUUAAAAGAAAGUUAUCAAAAAUCAGCAGAAGCAUUUGGAUACGAUAAGCGUGAAGAGAUAAGAAGAGAAAAAGAGGAGGAGGAGCGUUAUAUCCACAGAAAAGAAACUCUGGAAGCUAAGAGGGGAAAGGCCAAGCAUGCAUUAACAGAAGCUGAUUCAUCAUUUCCAGAUUUAACGAGUGCAUCUCGGUCCCAAGUAGCUCAGCCUCAGCCAGUUGAGAAGAAUGGAACGCUUCCCAGCUCAUUAAAUAUGAGUGCUGGUCUAGCAGAGCAGAAUGGUACCAGCUCAUAUAAAAGAGGGUUUGUUCCCAGAACAAAUCCAGAUAAACAGAUUCAAAGAAAAAGUAACAUGGCUCAAGUGGAGCACUGGGUAAAAGUCCAAAAAGGAGAUACAAAGAGCCUCACUUCUGAUCAGACUCUUACACGUCAGGGUCCCAAUCCACCUCCGUCUCUUCCUGAAAACUAUCACACCUUGCCAAAGAAUACCAGGCAGCCUUCAGGGAGUUCAUCCCCGCCACCAAACCGCAAUUUGCCGAGUGACUACAAAUAUGCCCAAGACCGUGUUAGCCACUUGAGGAUGUCUCAGGAGGAAAGGAAAGCGAAUAAGGAUGGAACUGUUUGGCAGCUGUAUGAGUGGCAACAGAGACAGCAAUUUAAACAUGGCAGCCCCACUGCCCCGCUUUAUGUAGGCUUUUCAGACUUUAUCGAUCGUGGAAAGUCAAAAAGUUCAUUGGAUGUUCCACGAUCAAUAUCUGUUCCACCAUCUCCAUCUGAUAUUCCUCCGCCUGGACCUCCGAAAAGCUUUCCACCAAGGAGACCACACACUCCUGCAGAGAGGCUCACAGUUAAACCAUCUGACGAGAGACAAACUGUAGACGUUCCUUUUGCUGGAUCACCCAGGAAGAUUCGAAAUCAAGCUGUAAAGAGCUCAACCCACAUUGAUCGACACUCUAUGCCAGCCAUGGGCUACAUGACCCAUACUGUAAGCGCACCCAGUUUGCAUGGCAAGUCGGCCGAUGACACUUACAUCCAGUUGAAAAAGGAUUUGGAGUAUCUGGAUCUCAAGGUGACGGGGCGUGACACGUUAAAAGAACGAAGUACAAAACCUGUCAAGAUUGCAGAAAGUGAUAUUGAUGUCAAGCUAAGUGUUUUCUGUGAGCAGGACAGAAUUCUGCAGGACUUGGAAGACAAAAUAAGAGCCCUGAAGGAAAACAAAGAUCAGCUGGAGUCUGUUUUGGAGGUUUUACACAGGCAGAUGGAACAGUACAAAGACCAACCACAACAUGCAGAAAAGAUUUCUUACCAGCAGAGACUAUUGCAAGAGGAUCUCAUACAUAUUCGGGCUGAAAUAUCGAAAGUUUCAACUGAAAUGGAAAAUGCCUGGAAUGAAUAUCUGAAAUUAGAAAAAGAUGUGAAUCAGCUGAAGCGAGCCUUACAGGAACAGAUGAACAGUUCACUUGUAUCUCAGGAGAAAACACAAAUACAAAAGGACUUAUGGAGAAUUGAAGAUGUUACAGCUGGCUUGAGUGCAAAUAAAACUAAUUACAGAACCAUAGUAGAAUCAAUCAAGAAUCCAGAGAGAAAAAUAGUGCCUUCAUUUUCUCAGUCUACAGUGCCUUCCUUACCAACUUCUCUGAAAACUGUGGAGAACAAGCUUUCCAUUCCUCAAAAUCCUCCGUCUAGUCCCCUUAAAUCCCCUUUGGAAGUUAGGCUAUAUCCACAGCCUUAUUUCCAGGCUAGAAUGCAGCACCAAACACAGCAGCUGAAAAAAAUCGAGCCCCCUCUUCAGUCGCCAGUUAAGCUAACGCCAAAGGUUGAAGAUGAAGCACCGCCCAGACCUCCUCUCCCUCAGUUGUAUAGUCCUGAUGAUCAGCCACCAGCUGUUCCACCUCUUCCGAGAGAAGCCACUGUCAUCAGACAUACGUCGGUGCGGGGCCUGAAACGUCAGUCGGAUGAAAGAAAGAGAGACAGAGAGCUAGGACAGUAUGUAAAUGGAGAUUAUAGGGUAGAACUGCGUUCAUACAUGAGUGAACCAGAACUUGCAACAAUAGGUGGUGACCUCAGCCAACCUUCCAGUGGUUUAAUAACCUCUGACAGUGGAUACCAGACAUUACCCACCCGUGGUUUGUCUGGAUCAACUUCCAGAUUGCACCAAUCAUCUAACAUUUCAUCGUAUGCAACACUUCGAAGGGAUAGGUCCAAGGAGAGACCAAAGAGUGCCUUGGAACGUUUAUACUCUGGAGACCACCAAAGAGGCAAGAUGAGUGCAGAGGAACAACUAGAAAGAAUGAAGCGACAUCAGAAAGCAUUAGUUCGUGAACGCAAGAGAACUCUUAGCCAAGGAGAAAGGCAGACUGUUUCAUCUCGGUCUUUCAUCAGGCCCAUUUCUGCAGACCUAGGCUCAUGGAAACGAGAGCAAGAAUUUGAUUUGCAGUUACUUGAGAGGGUAAUUCGUGGAGAAGACAAGGAUGAAAACAACUGGUUAAAAGUUCAGCCAGUGGCAGUAACAGAAACAGACCUGGAGCCUCAAGAUUAUGAUUUAGAUAUCAGCAGAGAGUUGUCAAAACCUGAGAAGGUUUCAAUUCCAGAGCGCUAUGUUGAGCUGGAGCCAGAAGAGCCUCUUUCUACAGAAGAGCUGGCAGCAAGGCAGCGUAAAGCAGAAAAGAUAAAGAAUAUUCUUACUAAAUCAAGUAUGCACAAUCUGCAGCCUACUAUUGCCCAGGACAAACACAGCUCGGUUGAUUUAGAUUCACAGUUGCAAGAGCAGGAACGCAUCAUUACCAUAUCAUACGCUUUGGCUUCUGAAGCCUCUCAGAGGAGCAAGGAGGUAGCAGCUCAGCAGUUGACCUAUCCAUCUAAAGCACCCUCACCUUCUGUACCACAACCACCUCACUCUCCCUUAAGCAAUGGAUUUCACUACACAUUUGUCUAAACACCUUAAAAGUAAGAACUAACUGCUCUUGGCAUGUUUGAUUUGCCAUUGUGUCUUUGCUAUGACUUGCUGAAUUUUAACACUUUUUAGUAGCCCUAGAUUAGAUUCAAAUGUAUGCAUGCCUGUGUUUUUCAGAAACCAGAAAAUUUUAUUCUCAUGUAGCAAGUAUUGCUUCUAAUGAGCUAACACAUGAGCUAAUAAAGUCUUCAAAUAACUGCUGUGGCUUUACAGAUAAGAUACUACCAUAAUCUUAAUGUGGGGAAGGAAGGAAGACAUCUCUACUAGUGGUAGCUUGGGGCCAAAUUUUCAGCAGUGGUUUUCGCUUCCAUUGUUAGAGUUGGGCACUGCUGUGGCUGUAGUAAGGGCGCCUAGGUGUUUUUGCCUGUGCAUGGUGUGUACCUUUGCUGCACAGGAGCAUCUGAAAUGUAAGCAAAGUCAUUGCAAGCAGAGGGGGUUUCUUUUAGGGGCUGAUACCUUACGCUUGAACUAAGGCUGGAGACUUGUUUGAGCCAAAGCAGUAUCUGAGCAUUGACAUAAGACUCAAAGCAAAACUCACCGAGUGACGCUGCAUGGAAGAAAAAAAAGUUCAUUACCAGCUUUCUGUGAAGAGAUACUCACCAGCUGACCACAUGUUCUUUUGAAAAUAUAUUCUGAGAAUAAUAGGGGGAUUUUCUAUGAAAACUAAGCAAAUUGCAAAUCAUUUUAUUUUGACUUCAGUUUAGUUCAGACUUUUUAUAUGAAUAAAUGGCACUUUUAACAAACUCUGUAAGAUACUGACAAUGUAUUUUUAGAACAGAAUAUAUUUUAGAAUUUUUUUAAUCAAGGACUGAAUUUGUUUUGAGAGAAACUACUUACAUAAAUGUUACAAGAUGCUGUUACUUCCCCCUCAGGCUUAGAUGCACAAUGUAAAGUUUCAUGAAGAAAUGUAAAUUGAACAAUCCUAGAAGCACAUUCAUAGCAUAUGGGUAAAGCUAACUCAUUUGAGAGGUUUACUGAAAGUGUGUUUUGGAAUGGAUGUUUUCUAGAGUUAAUCACUCACUCUUUUGCCCGUUAAGCAAUACAUUGCAAGGAACUGCUAGCUUAGGUUUCUAAAUGUCACUAACCACUGUGUAGCUGAAAUUGUCUACAAAACGCAUGAUGAUACCCAGUUUUAACUCCAGUUUCCUUUUUGAUCCCGUACGAUUAACUUGCCAUUAUCAACAUACAGUAUUUUACGUUGCUCUUGACAGUAAUGCUGUCCCCUCGGUAACAAACAGCUAACAAGUUAUAUUUUUUCAUAAGUUGAGAUGUGGAAGAAAAGGAAAAUUUUAAUUAAAAGAUGUGAAGUAAGCAAUAAAAUUUAAUAGCAUAUGUCAUUUUUCUACUAAAUACAUAUUUUUCUUCUGAUUUUUUCAAUAAACAAUAAAAUAUGAUGUAUUAAUUAGUAUUUAUCCUGGAAACAGCAAAGCUAGUGUAAUGUGGCACCUGCUAAUUUUGUGUGUAGAUUCAGUGGUGCUCAACUUUGCCAAAUGUCCACAUUCAGUGUUUUACUUAUGUAUAGGGCAAAGAGUGAGGUGGUUACAUAGGGAGAAAAUGAGAUUAAAUGAAUUGCUGUGAUUCCUUUACUUGAAAAACUGUGUACACAUUGAAUGCAAGAAAUUGUCCAAUAUUGUGUAAUUAUUAGUUGAGAUCAGCUCUGAAUAUGAAUGACUGGGAAAUACUUCUGCAGUAUUUUGGGAAACCACUAACAUGUUUAUUUGCUGUAUUCAAGUAAUAGUUACAAAACCCUUGAAAUUGAUUGACUUUCAAGUUUCAGACUGUAAGACAAAUCAUAUUAUAUUAACACUAUACUCAGAAAUAUUCUUAAAAGUAUAUAUUUAGCUAAUGCAAUCUGUUUUACCUCAAUACUGCCAGUAUCGACUUGGAAACAUUUUGCCAAAAUAAUGAUUUAUUUUUGCCUUUAUAAAAAAUUUUGAAAAAUAUUUUGCAGGAAAACGUUAAUUUAAAUAAAAUGUAACAGUUUGGAAAAUGGUAUAUGUACAGAUUAAAAUAUUAACAUAACUGCC
RNA transcript from Dromaius novaehollandiae (emu), 6058 nucleotides. It is a transcript of the gene named pleckstrin homology domain containing A7, with no coding region annotated. The transcript has 28 exons. The record is from RefSeq and is a predicted model, not a curated record. Lineage: Eukaryota; Metazoa; Chordata; Aves; Casuariiformes; Dromaiidae.